RNAcentral lists this ribosomal RNA (697 nucleotides) under uncultured bacterium. RNAcentral's name for it is "bacterial SSU rRNA". It matches the Rfam family "Bacterial small subunit ribosomal RNA", at positions 59 to 748 of the family's 1533-position model. The record is from RNAcentral.
CAGUCGACGGUACAGGAAGCAGCUUGCUGCUUUGCUGACGAGUGGCGGACGGGUGAGUAAUGUCUGGGAAACUGCCCGAUGGAGGGGGAUAACUACUGGAAACGGUAGCUAAUACCGCAUAACGUCGCAAGACCAAAGAGGGGGACCUUAGGGCCUCUUGCCAUCGGAUGUGCCCAGAUGGGAUUAGCUAGUAGGUGGGGUAACGGCUCACCUAGGCGACGAUCCCUAGCUGGUCUGAGAGGAUGACCAGCCACACUGGAACUGAGACACGGUCCAGACUCCUACGGGAGGCAGCAGUGGGGAAUAUUGCACAAUGGGCGCAAGCCUGAUGCAGCCAUGCCGCGUGUAUGAAGAAGGCCUUCGGGUUGUAAAGUACUUUCAGCGGGGAGGAAGGGAGUAAAGUUAAUACCUUUGCUCAUUGACGUUACCCGCAGAAGAAGCACCGGCUAACUCCGUGCCAGCAGCCGCGGUAAUACGGAGGGUGCAAGCGUUAAUCGGAAUUACUGGGCGUAAAGCGCACGCAGGCGGUUUGUUAAGUCAGAUGUGAAAUCCCCGGGCUCAACCUGGAACUGCAUCUGAUACUGGCAAGCUUGAGUCUCGUAGAGGGGGGUAGAAUUCCAGGUGUAGCGGUGAAAUGCGUAGAGAUCUGGAGGAAUACCGGUGGCGAAGGCGGCCCCCUGGACGAAGACUGACGCUC